This 380-nucleotide ribosomal RNA is filed under the name uncultured archaeon. Its description in RNAcentral is "bacterial SSU rRNA". It matches the Rfam family "Archaeal small subunit ribosomal RNA", at positions 471 to 851 of the family's 1478-position model. The record is from RNAcentral.
UAAUACCAGCUCUCCGAGUGGUGGGGAUGUUUAUUGGGCCUAAAGCAUUCGUAGCCUGCUUGGCAAGUCCUCCGUUAAAUCCAACGAUUCAAUCGUUGGGCUGCGGGGGAUACUGUCCAGCUAGGGGGCGGGAGAGGCCGACGGUAUCCCCGGGGUAGGGGUGAAAUCCUAUAAUCCCGGGAGGACCACCAGUGGCGAAGGCUGUCGGCUAGAACGCGCUCGACGGUGAGGGAUGAAAGCUGGGGGAGCGAACCGGAUUAGAUACCCGGGUAGUCCCAGCUGUAAACGAUGCAGGCUAGGUGUUGGCGCGGCUACGUGCCGCUCCAGUGCCGCAGGGAAGCCGUUAAGCCUGCCGCCUGGGAAGUACGGCCGCAAGGCUG